RNAcentral lists this ribosomal RNA (632 nucleotides) under Calonarius ochraceopallescens. RNAcentral describes it as "eukaryotic LSU rRNA". The stretch from base 251 to 404 matches the Rfam family "5.8S ribosomal RNA". Lineage: Eukaryota; Fungi; Basidiomycota; Agaricomycetes; Agaricales; Cortinariaceae. The record is from RNAcentral.
AGGAUCAUUAUUGAAAUAAACCUGAUAAGUUGUUGCUGGUUCUCUAGGGAGCAUGUGCACACUUGUCAUCUUUGUAUCUUCACCUGUGCACAUUUUGUAGACCUGAGUAUCUCUCUGAAUGCUUUAUGGCACUCAGGAUUGAGAGUUGACUUUUUGUCUCUUCUUAUAUUCUCAGGUCUAUGUUUUUCAUAUACCCCAAUGUAUGUUUAUAGAAUGUAAUUAAUAGGCCUUUGUGCCUAUAAACCUUUACAACUUUCAGCAACGGAUCUCUUGGCUCUCGCAUCGAUGAAGAACGCAGCGAAAUGCGAUAAGUAAUGUGAAUUGCAGAAUUCAGUGAAUCAUCGAAUCUUUGAACGCACCUUGCGCUCCUUGGUAUUCCGAGGAGCAUGCCUGUUUGAGUGUCAUUAAUAAUAUCAACCUCUUUGGUUGGAUGUGGGUUUGCUGGCCUUUUUGAGGUCAGCUCCCCUUAAAUGCAUUAGCGGACAACAUUUUGCCAACUGUUCUUUGGUGUGAUAAUUAUCUACGCCAUUGAUGUGAAGCAAAGGUUCGGCUUCUAACAGUCCAUUGACUUGGACAAACUCUUUUCUUAUUAAUGUGACCUCAAAUCAGGUAGGACUACCCGCUGAACUUAA